Molecule: ribosomal RNA, 247 nt
Filed under: uncultured Candidatus Saccharibacteria bacterium
Lineage: Bacteria; Candidatus Saccharimonadota
Description: partial 16S ribosomal RNA
Rfam family: Bacterial small subunit ribosomal RNA
Source: RNAcentral
CACGCCGUAAACGAUGGAUGCUAGCUGUAAGAGGUAUCGACCCCUCUUGUAGCGAAGCUAACGCGUUAAGCAUCCCGCCUGUGGAGUACGGUCGCAAGACUAAAACAUAAAGGAAUUGACGGGGACCCGCACAAGCGGUGGAGCGUGUUGUUUAAUUCGAUGGUAAACGAAGAACCUUACCCAGGUUUGACAUCCUUGGAAUUUUGCCGAAAGGCGAGAGUGCUUUAUUGAGCCAAGUGACAGGUGU